RNAcentral lists this ribosomal RNA (607 nucleotides) under uncultured bacterium. RNAcentral's name for it is "bacterial SSU rRNA". The stretch from base 1 to 517 matches the Rfam family "Bacterial small subunit ribosomal RNA", at positions 338 to 873 of the family's 1533-position model. The record is from RNAcentral.
CCUACGGGAGGCAGCAGUGGGGAAUCUUGCGCAAUGGGCGAAAGCCUGACGCAGCCAUGCCGCGUGAAUGAUGAAGGUCUUAGGAUUGUAAAAUUCUUUCACCGGGGACGAUAAUGACGGUACCCGGAGAAGAAGCCCCGGCUAACUUCGUGCCAGCAGCCGCGGUAAUACGAAGGGGGCUAGCGUUGCUCGGAAUUACUGGGCGUAAAGGGAGCGUAGGCGGAUAGUUUAGUCAGAGGUGAAAGCCCAGGGCUCAACCUUGGAAUUGCCUUUGAUACUGGCUAUCUUGAGUAUGGGAGAGGUAUGCGGAACUCCGAGUGUAGAGGUGAAAUUCGUAGAUAUUCGGAAGAACACCAGUGGCGAAGGCGGCAUACUGGCCCAUUACUGACGCUGAGGCUCGAAAGCGUGGGGAGCAAACAGGAUUAGAUACCCUGGUAGUCCACGCUGUAAACGAUGAGUGCUAGUUGUCGGCAUGCAUGCAUGUCGGUGACGCAGCUAACGCAUUAAGCACUCCGCCUGGGGGAGGUACGGUCGCGAAGAAGUUAAACUUACGAAAGUAAGUUAGUUAGGCGNGAGACGNGCCGACGGACGACGACGAGGGAGGAGG